AACGAACGCUGGCGGCAUGCCUAACACAUGCAAGUCGAACGAUUGCCUUCGGGUGAUAGUGGCGCACGGGUGCGUAACGCGUGGGAAUCUGCCCUUAGGUUCGGAAUAACAGCUGGAAACGGCUGCUAAUACCGGAUGAUAUCGCGAGAUCAAGGAUUUAUCGCCUGAGGAUGAGCCCGCGUUGGAUUAGGUAGUUGGUGGGGUAAAGGCCUACCAAGCCGACGAUCCAUAGCUGGUCUGAGAGGAUGAUCAGCCACACUGGGACUGAGACACGGCCCAGACUCCUACGGGAGGCAGCAGUGGGGAAUAUUGGACAAUGGGCGCAAGCCUGAUCCAGCAAUGCCGCGUGAGUGAUGAAGGCCCUAGGGUUGUAAAGCUCUUUUACCCGGGAAGAUAAUGACUGUACCGGGAGAAUAAGCCCCGGCUAACUCCGUG
Molecule: ribosomal RNA, 435 nt
Filed under: uncultured bacterium
Lineage: Bacteria
Description: partial 16S ribosomal RNA
Rfam family: Bacterial small subunit ribosomal RNA
Source: RNAcentral